AAGAAAAGAGGUUGUAUACUUUAAUAAUACCAGAGGAUUUAUAGAUUGUAGAGUUGUGAUUUAGUGAUUGUUGGUGGUAGUGGUAAACAGUAUGUUUUGUUUAUACAGAUUUCCCCAGGUUCGGAUAGUAGUUGCCAACAGCUUGCGUCUUGAUAUCUACUUUGUCAAGUCGCGCUAUAGGUCUUAUUUUAGAUUAAUGAUUAAAUAAAGAUACGCAUAGCUUGCUGCAAAUAUGUGAUAAAAUAAUGGGUAGUACAGCAUAAGCCAAAUUUUGAAAAUCAUUUAUCCGCCGUAACCAAAUAAAGAACAUGAACUUUAUAACAAAAUGAUAUUCAUU
Molecule: non-coding RNA, 337 nt
Organism: Schizosaccharomyces pombe (fission yeast)
Lineage: Eukaryota; Fungi; Ascomycota; Schizosaccharomycetes; Schizosaccharomycetales; Schizosaccharomycetaceae
Source: the annotation of a GenBank genome assembly